CCAGACUCCUACGGGAGGCAGCAGUGGGGAAUAUUGCACAAUGGGGGAAACCCUGAUGCAGCGACGCCGCGUGAGUGAAGAAGUAAUUCGUUAUGUAAAGCUCUAUCAGCAGGGAAGAAAAUGACGGUACCUGAGUAAGAAGCCCCGGCUAACUACGUGCCAGCAGCCGCGGUAAUACGUAGGGGGCAAGCGUUAUCCGGAUUUACUGGGUGUAAAGGGGGCGCAGACGGCGAUGCAAGCCAGGAGUGAAAGCCCGGGGCCCAACCCCGGGACUGCUCUUGGAACUGCGUGGCUGGAGUGCAGGAGGGGCAGGCGGAAUUCCUGGUGUAGCGGUGAAAUGCGUAGAUAUCAGGAGGAACACCGGUGGCGAAGGCGGCCUGCUGGACUGUACCUGACGCUGAGGCGCGAAAGCGUGGGUAGCGAACGGGAUUAGAUACCCCUGUAU
RNAcentral lists this ribosomal RNA (445 nucleotides) under uncultured bacterium. RNAcentral describes it as "bacterial SSU rRNA". It matches the Rfam family "Bacterial small subunit ribosomal RNA", at positions 331 to 793 of the family's 1533-position model. The record is from RNAcentral.